This 506-nucleotide ribosomal RNA is filed under the name uncultured bacterium. Its description in RNAcentral is "partial 16S ribosomal RNA". It matches the Rfam family "Bacterial small subunit ribosomal RNA", at positions 29 to 523 of the family's 1533-position model. The record is from RNAcentral.
AGUGAACGCUGGCGGUAGGCCUAACACAUGCAAGUCGAACGGCAGCACAGAGGAGCUUGCUCCUUGGGUGGCGAGUGGCGGACGGGUGAGGAAUACAUCGGAAUCUACCCUGUCGUGGGGGAUAACGUAGGGAAACUUACGCUAAUACCGCAUACGACCUACGGGUGAAAGCAGGGGAUCUUCGGACCUUGCGCGAUUGAAUGAGCCGAGGUCGGAUUAGCUAGUUGGCGGGGUAAAGGCCCACCAAGGCGACGAUCCGUAGCUGGUCUGAGAGGAUGAUCAGCCACACUGGAACUGAGACACGGUCCAGACUCCUACGGGAGGCAGCAGUGGGGAAUAUUGGACAAUGGGCGCAAGCCUGAUCCAGCCAUACCGCGUGGGUGAAGAAGGCCUUCGGGUUGUAAAGCCCUUUUGUUGGGAAAGAAAUCCAUCUGGUUAAUACCCGGGUGGGAUGACGGUACCCAAAGAAUAAGCACCGGCUAACUUCGUGCCAGCCGCCGCGGUAA